This 253-nucleotide ribosomal RNA is filed under the name uncultured bacterium. RNAcentral's name for it is "partial 16S ribosomal RNA". It matches the Rfam family "Bacterial small subunit ribosomal RNA", at positions 524 to 776 of the family's 1533-position model. The record is from RNAcentral.
GACAGAGGGUGCAAACGUUGUUCGGAAUUACUGGGCAUAAAGAGCACGUAGGUGGUUCGCUAAGUUACGUGUGAAAUCCCCCGGCUCAACCGGGGAAUUGCGCGUGAUACUGGCGGACUCGAGGCGGGUAGGGGUGAGCGGAACUCCAGGUUGAGCGGUGAAAUGCGUAGAUAUCUGGAGGAACACCGGUGGCGAAAGCGGCUCACUGGACCAGAUCUGACACUGAGGUGCGAAAGCUAGGGUAGCAAACGGG